CGGUGGCUAAUACCGGAUGAGCCGAAAGGUAAAAGAUUAAUUGCCUAGAGAUGAGCUCGCGUCUGAUUAGCUAGUUGGUGUGGUAAGAGCGCACCAAGGCGACGAUCAGUAGCUGGUCUGAGAGGAUGAUCAGCCACACUGGGACUGAGACACGGCCCAGACUCCUACGGGAGGCAGCAGUGGGGAAUUUUCCGCAAUGGGCGAAAGCCUGACGGAGCAAUACCGCGUGAGGGAGGAAGGCUCUUGGGUUGUAAACCUCUUUUCUCAAGGAAUAAGAAAGUGAAGGUACUUGAGGAAUAAGCAUCGGCUAACUCCGUGCCAGCAGCCGCGGUAAUACGGAGGAUGCAAGCGUUAUCCGGAAUGAUUGGGCGUAAAGGGUCCGCAGGUGGCCCUGUAAGUCUGCUGUUAAAGAGUGAGGCUCAACCUCAUAAAAGCAGUGGAAACUACAGAGCUAGAGUGCGUUCGGGGUAGCAGGAAUUCCUGGUGUAGCGGUGAAAUGCGUAGAGAUCAGGAAGAACACCGGUGGCGAAAGCGUGCUACUAGGCCGUAACUGACACUGAGGGACGAAAGCUAGGGGAGCGAAUGGGAUUAGAUACCCCAGUAGUCCUAGCCGUAAACGAUGGAUACUAGGCGUGGCUUGUAUCGACCCGAGCCGUGCCGGAGCUAAUGCGUUAAUUAUCCCGCCUGGGGAGUACGCACGCAAGUGUGAAACUCAAAGGAAUUGACGGGGGCCCGCACAAGCGGUGGAGUAUGUGGUUUAAUUCGAUGCAACGCGAAGAACCUUACCAAGACUUGACAUGUCGCGAAUCCUUCUGAAAGGAAGGAGUGCCUUAGGGAGCGCGAACACAGGUGGUGCAUGGCCGUCGUCAGCUCGUGUCGUGAGAUGUUGGGUUAAGUCCCGCAACGAGCGCAACCCUCGUUUUUAGUUGCCAGCAUUAAGUUGGGCACUCUAGAGAGACUGCCGGUGACAAACCGGAGGAAGGUGGGGAUGACGUCAAGUCAGCAUGCCCCUUACGUCUUGGGCUACACACGUACUACAUGUUACGGACAAAGGGCAGCUACACAGCGAUGUGAUGCUAAUCUCAGAAAGCGUAGCUCAGUUCAGAUCGAAGGCUGCAACUCGCCUUCGUGAAGGAGGAAUCGCUAGUAAUUGCAGGUCAGCAUACUGCAGUGAAUUCGUUCCCGGGCCUUGUACACACCGCCCGUCACACCAUGGAAGCUGGUCACGCCCGAAGUCAUUACCUCAGCCUUCGAGGAGGGGG
RNAcentral lists this ribosomal RNA (1262 nucleotides) under Nostoc sp. MGCY294-2. Its description in RNAcentral is "bacterial SSU rRNA". It matches the Rfam family "Bacterial small subunit ribosomal RNA", at positions 157 to 1452 of the family's 1533-position model. Lineage: Bacteria; Bacillati; Cyanobacteriota; Cyanophyceae; Nostocales; Nostocaceae. The record is from RNAcentral.